GACGAACGCUGGCGGCGUGCCUAAUACAUGCAAGUCGAACGCUUCUUUCCUCCCGAGUGCUUGCACUCAAUUGGAAAGAGGAGUGGCGGACGGGUGAGUAACACGUGGGUAACCUACCCAUCAGAGGGGGAUAACACUUGGAAACAGGUGCUAAUACCGCAUAACAGUUUAUGCCGCAUGGCAUAAGAGUGAAAGGCGCUUUCGGGUGUCGCUGAUGGAUGGACCCGCGGUGCAUUAGCUAGUUGGUGAGGUAACGGCUCACCAAGGCCACGAUGCAUAGCCGACCUGAGAGGGUGAUCGGCCACACUGGGACUGAGACACGGCCCAGACUCCUACGGGAGGCAGCAGUAGGGAAUCUUCGGCAAUGGACGAAAGUCUGACCGAGCAACGCCGCGUGAGUGAAGAAGGUUUUCGGAUCGUAAAACUCUGUUGUUAGAGAAGAACAAGGACGUUAGUAACUGAACGUCCCCUGACGGUAUCUAACCAGAAGGCCACGGCUAACUACGUG
This 508-nucleotide ribosomal RNA is filed under the name uncultured bacterium. Its description in RNAcentral is "partial 16S ribosomal RNA". It matches the Rfam family "Bacterial small subunit ribosomal RNA", at positions 28 to 507 of the family's 1533-position model. The record is from RNAcentral.